GAUGAACGCUGGCGGCGUGCCUAAUACAUGCAAGUCGAGCGAACAGACGAGGAGCUUGCUCCUCUGACGUUAGCGGCGGACGGGUGAGUAACACGUGGAUAACCUACCUAUAAGACUGGGAUAACUUCGGGAAACCGGAGCUAAUGCCGGAUAAUAUAUUGAACCGCAUGGUUCAAUAGUGAAAGACGGUUUUGCUGUCACUUAUAGAUGGAUUCGCGCCGCAUUAGCUAGUUGGUAAGGUAACGGCUUACCAAGGCAACGAUGCGUAGCCGACCUGAGAGGGUGAUCGGCCACACUGGAACUGAGACACGGUCCAGACUCCUACGGGAGGCAGCAGUAGGGAAUCUUCCGCAAUGGGCGAAAGCCUGACGGAGCAACGCCGCGUGAGUGAUGAAGGUCUUCGGAUCGUAAAACUCUGUUAUUAGGGAAGAACAAAUGUGUAAGUAACUAUGCACGUCUUGACGGUACCUAAUCAGAAAGCCACGGCUAACUACGUG
This 497-nucleotide ribosomal RNA is filed under the name uncultured bacterium. RNAcentral's name for it is "partial 16S ribosomal RNA". It matches the Rfam family "Bacterial small subunit ribosomal RNA", at positions 28 to 507 of the family's 1533-position model. The record is from RNAcentral.